CACCUUCUGUGGUUCAUGGCAUGAUGAUUGAGUUUUCACAUCAUGGUGUGACAUGUAUCUCCUUUAGAACUUAUUGCUGGGUUGACACAUUACCUGUCUGACA
Small nucleolar RNA from Sciurus vulgaris (Eurasian red squirrel), 103 nucleotides. The record is from Ensembl. NCBI's taxonomy places the organism in Eukaryota, Metazoa, Chordata, Mammalia, Rodentia, Sciuridae.